Long non-coding RNA from Mugil cephalus (flathead mullet), 543 nucleotides. RefSeq lists it as uncharacterized. Lineage: Eukaryota; Metazoa; Chordata; Actinopteri; Mugiliformes; Mugilidae. The transcript has 3 exons. The record is from RefSeq and is a predicted model, not a curated record.
UUAUGUUUAAAACACAUACUCUCUACUAUUGUGCUGAUUUGUUUUGCCAUCUUAUCAAAGAUAACCUUUUUUUUCAAGAAAAACAACUAGUAAAAGAAAAAGUAUUUUUUUUUUUUAUAAACUCUCUUUUAAAGGUGCUGGGACCACGUUCUACUUCCUCAUCAUGAAGCUGGGGUUAUACUGUUGGUUUUACCUGUUUCCGGGCUGGUAGCAGAUGUUGCUGAUUGUUUCCACUUGUACAUUCAGAAGUAAAGAACCAUGGUGACACUCGAACCCAGGAUUAAACCUAAAGUGAUUUCUGCCUAAACUUUAAAUCCACCUUCUAGUGCAGGUCAGAGAAACAGGAGAGGAUGGACUCUCCUACAACCAGAUGUGAAUCCACAGUCAGUGAGUGGUGCGUGCUUGACCUUGAUUUUGAAGUACAACAUUCAUCUGAAACAAAGUCAGACUCUCCUCCACCCAGUGCUGUGUCCAUGAAGAGUGACAGAUCCAUGGUUGAACCUUUAAACUUUAAAGGACAAUGUUCAUCUGAAACAAAGUAAG